CCUACGGGAGGCAGCAGUGAGGAAUAUUGGUCAAUGGACGCAAGUCUGAACCAGCAAUGCCGCGUGCAGGAAGACGGCCCUAUGAGCUGUAAACUGCUUUUGUACGAGGGUAAAUGCAGAUACGCGAAUCUUCCCGUAUGUACCGUACGAAUAAGGAUCGGCUAACCCCGUGCCAGCAGCCGCGGUAAUAAGGAGGAUUCAAGCGUUAUCCGGAUUUAUUGGGUUUAAAGGGUGCGUAGGCGGUCGGGUAAGUUGGAGGUGAAAUCCCGAGGCUCAACUUCGGAAUUGCCUCUGAUACUGUUAGGCUAGAGAGUAGUAGCGGUAGGCGGAAUGUAUGGUGUAGCGGUGAAAUGCUUAGAGAUCAGACAGAACACCGAUUGCGAAGGCAGCUUACCAAGCUACAUCUGACGUUGAGGCACGAAAGCGUGGGGAGCAAACAGGAUGAGAUACCCCAGUAGUC
RNAcentral lists this ribosomal RNA (460 nucleotides) under uncultured bacterium. Its description in RNAcentral is "partial 16S ribosomal RNA". It matches the Rfam family "Bacterial small subunit ribosomal RNA", at positions 338 to 795 of the family's 1533-position model. The record is from RNAcentral.